UAACACGUCAAGUUGGCGCCCGACGGGA
Molecule: small RNA, 28 nt
Filed under: Bombyx mori (domestic silkworm)
Lineage: Eukaryota; Metazoa; Arthropoda; Insecta; Lepidoptera; Bombycidae
Description: ovarian small RNA-18573
Source: RNAcentral